UCUGAAUGACUGGGCGUAAAGGGNCGUAGGCGCUUACAUAGUUAGGCGUGAAAUUCCUGGGCUCAACCUGGGGCUGCGUCUAAUACAUGUAGGCUUGAGUGUGAAAGAGGGUCGUGGAAUUUCCAGUGUAGAGGUGAAAUUCGUAGAUAUUGGAAAGAACACCGGUGGCGAAGGCGGCGACCUNGUUCAUUACUGACGCUGAGGCGCNAAAGCGUGGGGAGCAAACAGGAUUAGAUACCCUNGUAGUCCACGCUGUAAACGAUGUGUGCUGGAUGUUGGGGUGCUUAGCACUUCAGUGUCGUAGCUAACGCGGUAAGCACACCGCCUNGGGAGUACGGCCGCAAGGU
Molecule: ribosomal RNA, 347 nt
Filed under: Acidiphilium rubrum
Lineage: Bacteria; Pseudomonadati; Pseudomonadota; Alphaproteobacteria; Acetobacterales; Acidocellaceae
Description: bacterial SSU rRNA
Rfam family: Bacterial small subunit ribosomal RNA
Source: RNAcentral